RNAcentral lists this long non-coding RNA (260 nucleotides) under Bos indicus x Bos taurus (hybrid cattle). RNAcentral describes it as "lncRNA (ENSBIXG00000021560.1)". Lineage: Eukaryota; Metazoa; Chordata; Mammalia; Artiodactyla; Bovidae. The record is from RNAcentral.
GUUUCAAUAUUUUAGGGUUGAUUACUGUGUUCAUUCACUACUAAUUUUUUUUUUUUCUCUAGGGAGAACUUCUGAUGAUGCAGAUUUCUUGGGAAAUGUGUUGAUUUCACCAUAUUCAGGAAGGAUCGAUUAUCAUUUCUUGUGCCUAAGGUUCUUUGCAGAAUUUACAUCAAAAAUGCUUGAAGAAAGAUAGACAGAUAACAUGUAGAAAUAAUAUUUUGGAUGCAUUGGGUUAAAUUGAGUAUAUUAUUAAUGUUAAU